RNAcentral lists this unclassified non-coding RNA (395 nucleotides) under soil metagenome. RNAcentral's name for it is "partial contains 5.8S ribosomal RNA, internal transcribed spacer 2, and large subunit ribosomal RNA". The stretch from base 1 to 120 matches the Rfam family "5.8S ribosomal RNA", at positions 35 to 154 of the family's 154-position model. The record is from RNAcentral.
GAUGAAGAACGUAGUGAAAUGCGAUAAGUAAUGUGAAUUGCAGAAUUCAGUGAAUCAUCGAAUCUUUGAACGCACCUUGCGCCUUUUGGUAUUCCGAAAGGCACACCUGUUUGAGCGUCAUGAAUACCUCAAUCUCCAUCUUUUCUUCGGAUUGAUGGGUGACUUGGAUGUUGAGCCCUGCUGGUAUGCUAUAUCAGCUGGCUUUAAACUUAUUAGCCAGCUCUGUACUGGAUCGGUUUGACUCGACGUGAUAAUAUUAUCGUUGAGGAUGCAUGUCUCAUGCAGCCGGAAAGUAUCAAAGCAGCUUCUAGCUUGCCUUUAGUGCACUUUUACAUUUUAGACCUCAGAUCAGGUGGGACUACCCGCUGAACUUAAGCAUAUCAAUAAGCGGAGGA